CAACGACUCUCGGCAACGGAUAUCUCGGCUCUCGCAUCGAUGAAGAACGUAGCGAAAUGCGAUACUUGGUGUGAAUUGCAGAAUCCCGUGAACCAUCGAGUCUUUGAACGCAAGUUGCGCCCGAAGCCAUCUGGCCGAGGGCACGUCUGCCUGGGUGUCACGCA
This 164-nucleotide ribosomal RNA is filed under the name Heimia myrtifolia. RNAcentral describes it as "5.8S ribosomal RNA". It matches the Rfam family "5.8S ribosomal RNA". From Rfam's summary of the family: 5.8S ribosomal RNA (5.8S rRNA) is a component of the large subunit of the eukaryotic ribosome. It is transcribed by RNA polymerase I as part of the 45S precursor that also contains 18S and 28S rRNA. The record is from RNAcentral. Lineage: Eukaryota; Viridiplantae; Streptophyta; Magnoliopsida; Myrtales; Lythraceae.